AACCUCCGCAAUGUGAGAAAUCGCGACGGGGGGAUCCCAAGUGCCAUUCUUAACGGGAUGGCUUUUCAUUAGUGUAAAGAGCUUUUGGAAUAAGGGCUGGGCAAGACCGGUGCCAGCCGCCGCGGUAACACCGGCAGCUCUAGUGGUAGCAGUUUUUAUUGGGCCUAAAGCGUCCGUAGCCGGUUUAAUAAGUCUCUGGUGAAAUCCUGUAGCUUAACUGUGGGAAUUGCUGGUGAUACUGUUGAACUUGAGGUCGGGAGAGGUUAGCGGUACUCCCAGGGUAGAGGUGAAAUUCUGUAAUCCUGGGAGGACCGCCUGUUGCGAAGGCGUCUAACUGGAACGAUUCUGACGGUGAGGGACGAAAGUUAGGGGCGCGAACCGGAUUAGAUACCCGGGUAGUCCUAACUGUAAACGAUGCGGACUUGGUGUUGGGGUGGCUUUGAGCUGCUCCAGUGCCGAAGGGAAGCUGUUAAGUCCGCCGCCUGGGAAGUACGGUCGCAAGACUGAAACUUAAAGGAAUU
RNAcentral lists this ribosomal RNA (521 nucleotides) under uncultured bacterium. RNAcentral describes it as "bacterial SSU rRNA". It matches the Rfam family "Archaeal small subunit ribosomal RNA", at positions 345 to 866 of the family's 1478-position model. The record is from RNAcentral.